UCAGUUUAAAUAUCGUAGUCCUCUGUUGUUUCCCCCCAAGAGGUAAGGAACACAGAGAAUAAAAUAAUAUAAAUGCCAAUGAGCAUAAUCGAAUAGAAAGGAAAUACAAAAAUAAAUAAAUAUUUCCUUCUAUCGUGUGUUUUCUGGAACGACACCAGAAUAAUAAAAAUAUAUAAAAUAUAAAAAUGUUGUGUUGGCGUAUCCGAGGCCCGACAUCGGAAAAGUUUAAAAGAAGAAUAAACGUGUAAAAGUUUAAAAGAAAAAAACGGCGACACCAACAUCAACAGAAAAUAAGCACCCCAAGCAGAAGCAACAUCCGAGCAACAUCAGGAGCAAUAUCGGCCGAAGCAAGUCAUCCACGCAGAAGCAACAUCCGAGCAACAUCAGGAGCAAUAUCGGCCGAAACAAGUCAUCCACGCAGAAGCAACAUCCGCAGCGACACCAAGG
Long non-coding RNA from Drosophila ananassae, 447 nucleotides. RefSeq lists it as uncharacterized. NCBI's taxonomy places the organism in Eukaryota, Metazoa, Arthropoda, Insecta, Diptera, Drosophilidae. The record is from RefSeq and is a predicted model, not a curated record. The transcript is spliced from 2 exons.